This 253-nucleotide ribosomal RNA is filed under the name uncultured bacterium. Its description in RNAcentral is "partial 16S ribosomal RNA". It matches the Rfam family "Bacterial small subunit ribosomal RNA", at positions 524 to 776 of the family's 1533-position model. The record is from RNAcentral.
UACGUAGGGUGCGAGCGUUAUUCGGAAUUACUGGGCUUAAAGCGUGCGCAGGCGGUUUUUUAAGCCAGGUGUGAAAUCCCCGGGCUUAACCUGGGAAUGGCCUUUGGGACUGCAAGGCUUGAGUGCGGCAGAGGAGACUGGAAUUCCUGGUGUAGCAGUGAAAUGCGUAGAUAUCAGGAGGAACACCAAUGGCGAAGGCGGCUCUCUGGGACGGUACUGACGCUGAGACGCGAAAGCGUGGGGAGCGAACAGG